AAAUCAAAAGUCCCAGUCUUCUCUUCAUCAUCUCCCCCUUUUAAUGUUGACGUUCAAAUCCAGUGUUGGACUGCAUUCUUUCAGAUUCACUGAUGCCACCUCUGGAUCCUGGACCUGAAGAUGUCUCUCCUGUGUGAAUGACAUCAGAAUAGCAAGUUCACUGAUGCCAUCUCUGGAACCUGCUGUAAAGCCUACACAAAGGGCCCCAUUGUCACAAUCAGGACACAUUGACGCUAUAGGUCUGGGCUAUAACUCAGUUCUCUUUAUCUGCUUGCUAGAGCUAGAUAUAAAAGCCUCUAGAUAGAAUAAGUCCGAAAAAGAAGUCUGAGUUCAACCUCCUGGUCUCCCCUGUGUGUGCCACUCUCCCUCCCAUUGAACUGUAUGGGUACAUUUCAAAGAAUAGAUACAAUAAGUGCUGUGGCACUGCAGGUCAGUUCACAGUGCUUACAACCUUAGCAUUUAUAUCAAAACAUCUAUUUAUAUAAUAAACGGGUUAAUUGAUUUACCACUGGUUUCAGUGCCACUUAAGAAUGUAAUGGCCUGGUUGUUGCCAGAUAGGUCUGUUUCCUGCCUAAUUUAGUGACUUUUUACAUAAUACGUCUUGCAAAAUGGUGCUGGGUGGGUGUUAAUUUGAUUGGGAGGCUAAGAGUCAAGAGAAUCUGGCUACACUGAAUAGCUUCUGUUGACAUUUUAAAUUAAGAGGACCAAAACCAGGGGGACUUUCACACUGACUAAACUUGUUGCCCACGCUCCACAGGUCACCUAAUGUUAAACUUUUCACUUUUAAACACUAUAUCCUUACAUUAGCCUGAAAUAUGAUGUGAUCGAAGCCACAAUCAUUCUUCAUAUGUGUAGCAUACUGUAAACACCAUAGAACAAACAAAAUAAUGCCCACUAUUCAAACUAUACAGAAGCUUCUCAACUAUAUUGCACAUAAUAUUGCACUCUUAAGUAAUACAACCACCCAAUUGUUCUCACAAUAGUGAAAGGCAACUUAGAUUUUUUUCUAAACAAAGCUACAACUGAAAGUCUUUAUAUGCAUUAGAUGCUUCACAAAUCAUCACAUUGAGAGUUGAGGUAAGGAGUUUUGCAAGUAUGUUUUUUUGGUCAAUUGUUAAGCUUUUAUGAGAGAAACUCUUCCCGCAGUUAGAGC
Molecule: long non-coding RNA, 1153 nt
Organism: Oncorhynchus tshawytscha (Chinook salmon)
Lineage: Eukaryota; Metazoa; Chordata; Actinopteri; Salmoniformes; Salmonidae
Source: Ensembl